Molecule: ribosomal RNA, 164 nt
Filed under: uncultured bacterium
Lineage: Bacteria
Description: partial 16S rRNA
Rfam family: Bacterial small subunit ribosomal RNA
Source: RNAcentral
CAGGGAAUCUUCGGCAAUGGACGAAAGUCUGACCGAGCAACGCCGCGUGAGUGAAGAAGGUUUUCGGAUCGUAAAACUCUGUUGUUAGAGAAGAACAAGGGUGAGAGUAACUGUUCACCCCUUGACGGUAUCUAACCAGAAAGCCACGGCUAACUACGUGCCAG